CCCUUAGAUGUUCUGGGCUGCACGCGCGCUACACUGAAGCUAUCAACACGUUUUCCCUCCCUGAGAAGGGCGGGUAACCUUUUGAAUCAGCUUCGUGGUAGGGAUCGGGGCUUGCAAUUGUUCCCCGUGAACCAGGAAUUCCUAGUAGACGCGAGUCAUAAGCUCGCAUCGAUUAAGUCCCUGCCCUUUGUACACACCGCCCGUCGCUACUACCGAUUGAACGUUUUAGUGAGGCAUUUGGACCGCCGCAUCUCAGUUUAACCGCUGGUUUGUGUUGGAAAGACUUCCAAACUUGAGCGUUUAGAGGAAGUAAAAGUCGUAACA
RNAcentral lists this ribosomal RNA (324 nucleotides) under uncultured eukaryote. RNAcentral's name for it is "partial 18S ribosomal RNA". It matches the Rfam family "Eukaryotic small subunit ribosomal RNA", at positions 1470 to 1796 of the family's 1831-position model. The record is from RNAcentral.